UGUUAUCAUCCAGAAACAUGCAGCUGUUAAUAGGAGCCUCGGAACUUUCCUUUCAGUUCCCUGUAGCACCACCACUCCAAGAAAAUCAGCAGCGGCUCGCAGCAAAGUCUAGUUUGACAUCACUGGAAUCCCAUCUUGAUACAGUGAGAACUUCUGCUUGUUUUAAAGCACCAUUAUCCUAACAUUCGGUGGACAAAUAAUUUAUUGUAUAAUUUUCAAAGAUGGGAACUGAGGAGGUAAAUAAAUUGAAUUUCUUAAGGAAGACCCUAGUGGUAUCUGCUUUC
Molecule: long non-coding RNA, 284 nt
Filed under: Fukomys damarensis (Damara mole-rat)
Lineage: Eukaryota; Metazoa; Chordata; Mammalia; Rodentia; Bathyergidae
Description: lncRNA (ENSFDAG00000024898.1)
Source: RNAcentral